RNAcentral lists this long non-coding RNA (1375 nucleotides) under Bos grunniens (domestic yak). RNAcentral's name for it is "lncRNA (ENSBGRG00000021610.1)". Lineage: Eukaryota; Metazoa; Chordata; Mammalia; Artiodactyla; Bovidae. The record is from RNAcentral.
CACCAGCCUGACGUCAGACUGGGCCACGUGGGCUUUCUAUAUAUUCUGGUGUUUCAACUGUUGAUCUUUCAUUAACUUUUUUCACUUAGUCCACAACAGAAGAAAAUACUGUGAAAGGUGUAUAUAUUUUAUAUAUGAGGACAAAUUCUGAAAAGUACACAUUUUUCAUUUUGCUUCAGCCUCCAAAAUGGCUCUACAGGGUAUUGCUAUUUGGCUAUGUUAGAAUGAUUGAAAAUAAAACCAGCGGACCAGUGGGGCUAAUGGAGGCAAUAAUAAUAACAAGCCAUGUUCCAAGCUAUAUAUGCAUAUGUGUGUGUGUAUAUAUAUGUAUAUUUCAGAUAUACCUGAAAUACACAUACAUCUGAAAUAUACAUAUAUCUAUAAAAUCAUGGUCAUGAAAACAAUAUUUUCCCUAAUUAUACAUUUACCACUCCAUUUACCAUCCUAUUCUAUAUACUUUUUUUUAAGUUAAUAAUCAUGAAAUUAUUUUCACAACUCACAGUUUCAAAGACACUGUUCCUGGUAAAGCAGUAAGGGUAACCACAAUGAGUACAACUAUCAAAUGGAGGAAACAGAAAAAAACAACCACCAAUCCAAAAGAAGGUGGGGGAAGGGAAAUCAAAAGAAGCUGGAAAAGAAGAAAGUAUAUAGAAAUCACAAAAUCAGAUAGUAAAACAAAUGCAAAUAUCAUUGUUGGUAAUAAAUAUAAAUAGACUGAACCUUCUGCUGUAUCUGCCAGGUUGGAUUUUUUUUUAAAGAACCCUGGGUAUGUGAUGUUUACAACAAGCAUUUCUAAAAUAUAAGUACACAGAAAGUUGGAAAGUCAGAGUAUGAAAGAGGAGAAACUAGAAAAAACUAACCAAAAGAAACCAGGUAUAACCACAUUAAUACCAGACAAAGUAAACUUCAAAGCCAAGAGCCAAUACUAGAGAAUUUAAAAGGCUACAUCAAAUGAUCAGAUCAUAAAGAAAAUCAAUUCUAUAUGGGUAUACGCAUUAAACAUAAAUGCAAAACAUCAAACAAAAAUUGAAUAUAAGAAAAAUUAAUAGAACUCCCAGAGAUCCUCAUCAUUGAAAAUUUAUACAUCUGCGUAGUGAUUGACUGACCAAGUAAGAUCAAGUACAUGAGGAAACAAUUGAAAUAUUUAAAGAUCAUAUCAAUAUGCUUGACCUACUAAGCAUUGAACUCAAAAAAAAUGAAUAUGCAUUACUUUCUUGCACAUAGGAAACAUUUUUUAAAAUUCACUCUGUGCCAGGCCAUUAAUGCAAACCUCAAUCAGUUCAGUUCAGUUCAGUUCAGUUCAGUCACUCAGGCCUAUCCGACUCUGCGACCCCAUGAAUUGCAGCACACCAGGCCUCCCUGUCCGUCACCAACU